This 253-nucleotide ribosomal RNA is filed under the name uncultured bacterium. Its description in RNAcentral is "partial 16S ribosomal RNA". It matches the Rfam family "Bacterial small subunit ribosomal RNA", at positions 524 to 776 of the family's 1533-position model. The record is from RNAcentral.
GACAGAGGGUGCAACCGUUGCUCGGAAUCACUGGGCGUAAAGGGCGUGUAGGCGGGAAGGAAAGUCAGAUGUGAAAGCCCUGGGCUCAACCCAGGAACUGCAUUUGAAACUCCCUUUCUUGAGUGUCGGAGAGGAAAGCGGAAUUCCUGGUGUAGAGGUGAAAUUCGUAGAUAUCAGGAGGAACACCGGUGGCGAAGGCGGCUUUCUGGACGACAACUGACGCUGAGACGCGAAAGCGUGGGGAGCAAACAGG